Mus musculus (house mouse) is the source of this 202-nucleotide long non-coding RNA. RefSeq annotates it as predicted gene, 30765. NCBI's taxonomy places the organism in Eukaryota, Metazoa, Chordata, Mammalia, Rodentia, Muridae. The transcript is spliced from 3 exons. The record is from RefSeq and is a predicted model, not a curated record.
AUCUGAAGAGAGUAAUUAGAAGGUGAACCUAUUAUGAACUCAAAGGAAGAAUGAAAGAACGCAGGACAAAGGGAAGGGCGAGAAGGAAGUGAUCUGCCAGCCAUCGUCUCGGAGAGAAAGGAGUGACUGCAUUCAUCUUUCAACAGUUUUAGAGAAGAGGGAAGAAAUGCUCAGCAUGUUUGUCAUUUGUAUUGAAAGACCC